AUUAAAUGAGAGUUUGAUCCUGGCUCAGGACGAACGCUGGCGGCGUGCCUAAUACAUGCAAGUAGAACGCUGAAGACUUUAGCUUGCUAAAGUUGGAAGAGUUGCGAACGGGUGAGUAACGCGUAGGUAACCUGCCUACUAGCGGGGGAUAACUAUUGGAAACGAUAGCUAAUACCGCAUAACAGCAUUUAACCCAUG
RNAcentral lists this ribosomal RNA (198 nucleotides) under Streptococcus sp. 45. Its description in RNAcentral is "partial 16S rRNA. Bacterial SSU". It matches the Rfam family "Bacterial small subunit ribosomal RNA", at positions 1 to 192 of the family's 1533-position model. The record is from RNAcentral. Lineage: Bacteria; Bacillati; Bacillota; Bacilli; Lactobacillales; Streptococcaceae.